UGUUUAAGAGGCACGUCACCUGACGAUGGGC
RNAcentral lists this non-coding RNA (31 nucleotides) under Mus musculus (house mouse). The record is from RNAcentral. Lineage: Eukaryota; Metazoa; Chordata; Mammalia; Rodentia; Muridae.